CAGUAGCCGCGGGAAUACGUAGGUGGCAAGCGUUGUCCGGAAUUAUUGGGCGUAAAGGGCUCGCAGGCGGUUUCUUAAGUCUGAUGUGAAAGCCCCCGGCUCAACCGGGGAGGGUCAUUGGAAACUGGGAAACUUGAGUGCAGAAGAGAAGAGUGGAAUUCCACGUGUAGCGGUGAAAUGCGUAGAGAUGUGGAGGAACACCAGUGGCGAAGGCGACUCUCUGGUCUGUAACUGACGCUGAGGAGCGAAAGCGUGGGGAGCGAACAGGAUUAGAUACCCGUGUAGUCCCUGUCUCUUAUAC
RNAcentral lists this ribosomal RNA (301 nucleotides) under uncultured bacterium. RNAcentral's name for it is "partial 16S ribosomal RNA". It matches the Rfam family "Bacterial small subunit ribosomal RNA", at positions 509 to 807 of the family's 1533-position model. The record is from RNAcentral.